UACGUAGGGGGCUAGCGUUGUCCGGAAUCAUUGGGCGUAAAGCGCGCGUAGGCGGCCCGGUAAGUCCGCUGUAAAAGUCAAAGGCUCAACCUUUGAAUGUCAGUGGAUACUGCCGGGCUAGAGUCCGGAAGAGGCGAGUGGAACUCCUGGUGUAGCGGUGGAAUGCGCAGAUAUCAGGAGGAACACCCAGGGGGAAACCAGCCGACUGGGCAUCUGCUGACGCUGAGGUGCGAGAGCGUGGGGAGCGAACCGG
RNAcentral lists this ribosomal RNA (253 nucleotides) under uncultured bacterium. RNAcentral's name for it is "partial 16S ribosomal RNA". It matches the Rfam family "Bacterial small subunit ribosomal RNA", at positions 524 to 776 of the family's 1533-position model. The record is from RNAcentral.